UAACACCUUCCCCUGUUAAGGCUCUAACACCAGGUAACACCUUCCCCUGUUGAGGCUCUAACACCAGGUAACACCUUCCCCUGUUGAGACUCUAUACACCAGGUAACACCUUCCCCUGUUGAGACUCUAACACCAGGUAACACCUUCCCCUGUUGAGGCUCUAACACCA
This is a long non-coding RNA of Oncorhynchus tshawytscha (Chinook salmon), 169 nucleotides long. RefSeq lists it as uncharacterized. The transcript has 2 exons. Lineage: Eukaryota; Metazoa; Chordata; Actinopteri; Salmoniformes; Salmonidae. The record is from RefSeq and is a predicted model, not a curated record.